This 200-nucleotide unclassified non-coding RNA is filed under the name soil metagenome. Its description in RNAcentral is "partial contains internal transcribed spacer 2 and large subunit ribosomal RNA". The record is from RNAcentral.
UUCGAGCGUCAUUAUCACCCCUCAAGCUCCGGCUUGGUGUUGAGGCCUGCUGUAAAGGCACCCUCUAAAAUCAGUGGCAGUGCUGUCAGGCUCUAAGCGUAGUAAUUCUCUCGCUAUAGGGUCCUGGUGGACACUCGUCAGAACCCCCCCAUCUUUUAAUGAUUGACCUCGGAUUAGGUAGGGAUACCCGCUGAACUUAA